Transfer RNA from Neocallimastix californiae, 72 nucleotides. It matches the Rfam family "tRNA". Rfam says of the family: Transfer RNA (tRNA) molecules are approximately 80 nucleotides in length. The record is from Rfam. NCBI's taxonomy places the organism in Eukaryota, Fungi, Neocallimastigomycota, Neocallimastigomycetes, Neocallimastigales, Neocallimastigaceae.
GCCCGUUUGGCUCAGUGGUAGAGCGUCGCUCUCGUAAAGCGAAGAUCAGUGGUUCGAUCCCGCUAAUGGGCA